RNAcentral lists this long non-coding RNA (1016 nucleotides) under Oreochromis niloticus (Nile tilapia). RNAcentral describes it as "lncRNA (ENSONIG00000039004.1)". The record is from RNAcentral. Lineage: Eukaryota; Metazoa; Chordata; Actinopteri; Cichliformes; Cichlidae.
AUGAACAUUAUGUCUAUCUCUAAUACUGGAGUGAGUAUAGUUCAACAUUUAUUUGAUUCAAUAAGGUAUCAGCACAUGUGGUGCUGUUGUCCAUGUUACGGCCCCUGGCCUUGUAAGAAGCUAGCCAGCCUAUCUCCAAGCAAAUUUGAGUGUUGCAACCUGUGGUGCAGAGAAAGUCUAUUGGACCAUCUGAGGGAUGCCAGGCCAAUCAGCGACUGAUUGGGCACACCUGUGUCUUUAAAAGGCUGAACAUUCAUUCAGGGGCUGCUGUUUUGGACUGAGUGUGCAGUCAGCCCUGUAUGCUGUAAUUUUAAUUUAACACAAAAACAAAACACUGCAAACAAAUCCACAGAACAGAAACCAAACUCAGCAGCCAAACAGUUUGUCCUCAGUGCAGGCUGAAAUUCAAAAAACUUUCAGAAAACUCAAAUCCCUCAGCUUGGAUGGGCUGAUUUGGUUUCUCCUCUGUUAGUAUCUGCUUCUUCUUUAAACUGCAGCCAGAUGCUGCUUUGUUUACUGGAGUCAGUCAUAUUUAUGUGUUUUUGUGAUGCACUCGCACUCUCCUGCUCACCGCUGUCUACCGUUUCACUCGCUGACUGAACGGAUUCUCAAUCAAUGGUAGUUGGCUCUUCUGAUUCACUGCAAAGCCCUUUUGCACAUGACACAUCACUACUCCCUGGAGCCCCACCUGGAGCUCAUUAUCAUGGCUGUAUUUAAGACCAGCGUUGACCCGACUCUUCGCCAGAUCUUCUGCUAACCAGCAUUGGCAUCAAAAACUGAGCUCACUAUUGGAGCUCGGAACAACCCCAGAUUUUGUGAAGCUUAGACCACCCAAACAAAUAAAUCCACAACAUCAUCAGCAACCAACUUCUGUUAGUUACAAAAAUUAAAGAAUUUACUAAAUCAAACUACCACAUCAGAUUCUAAAUGUCAUUAAGUUUCAGGAACAGGCUGAAAGACAUAAAAACAGUUACACUGAAAAUUUGGAGGGUGUCAGACGAUUUUCUAUCAGUGUU